This 339-nucleotide unclassified non-coding RNA is filed under the name soil metagenome. Its description in RNAcentral is "partial contains 5.8S ribosomal RNA, internal transcribed spacer 2, and large subunit ribosomal RNA". The stretch from base 1 to 120 matches the Rfam family "5.8S ribosomal RNA", at positions 35 to 154 of the family's 154-position model. The record is from RNAcentral.
GAUGAAGAACGCAGCGAAAUGCGAUAAGUAGUGUGAAUUGCAGAAUUCAGUGAAUCAUCGAAUCUUUGAACGCACAUUGCGCCCCUCGGUAUUCCGUGGGGCAUGCCUGUUCGAGCGUCAUUUAACCCCUCAAGCCUAGCUUGGUAUUGGGUGCUUGUCCCGCCUCUCGCGCGGCGACUCACCUCAAAGUCAUUGGCAGCCCGCAUCUCGCCGGCCGUGAGCACAGCACAGACGCGCUCUUGGCAACGACGGAUCGGCUCUCCAAAAGCUUAUUUCAACCACUGACCUCGGAUCAGGUAGGGAUACCCGCUGAACUUAAGCAUAUCAAUAAGCGGAGGA